This 1287-nucleotide long non-coding RNA is filed under the name Homo sapiens (human). RNAcentral describes it as "non-protein coding lnc-C15orf53-8:1". Lineage: Eukaryota; Metazoa; Chordata; Mammalia; Primates; Hominidae. The record is from RNAcentral.
CUCUCUGCCACUCCACUAUGUGAAGAAGGUGCUUGCUUCCCCUUCGCCUUCUGCCAUGUCUAAAAGUUUCCUGAGGACUCCCCAGCCAUGCUUCCUGUACAGCCUGUGGAACUGGCAGAGAGAUCCGGAGCUGCAUCCCCUGGUUAUACUGCCCACCAAGGCUGAGCCAGAGAAAGCAGCCCCACUGAGGCCCAUGACAUCUGGAUUCUUCGUCUCGUCAAAUGUCAACACCCUCGUAAAUGUAAAACGGACUCCAAUUCUUUUCAUUUUUCUUGAUUGCAGGAUAAGAAAGUUCCUCUGAGAUUAAGACUGAGAAAGGUCUUAAAAGCCAAGACUCCAAAUGGCAUCAGGAAACCCAGGCUCUUCGAAAUAUGCAGUGAAAAAUGAAACCCUUGCAAGAUGAGACAUUUGAUAAAGAAGAAAACAUCAAAUUUUCUUGAAGCUUUCCUCUCACUGUAACUCUGCCUCCUUGGAUUGAAGCUACAGAGAAGAAUGCAGCCUGCGGGUGCUCAUGCCUGAGCAUCAUCUCCUCUUUUCCACCUGCUGAGCUAUGUCUAAAUAGACAUCCUCUACCUUUGGCCCAAAACUUUCUGUUCCUGAAUAGAAAGAACAUUCUUGUCAUAUCAAGAGUUCUGGGAUAUUCUGGGAGCAGUUUAGAGCUUUCAAUCAGUAUAAAGUUUCUUUUCUCAUGAAAAGAUCUUGCCACAGGGGAUGAGAAACAAGCUAUUGAGCAUCUAAUAUAUGUGUAUACCAUGCUAAUCAAUUGUACAUACUUCAGUCUAUUUAAUUAACAGAAACACCCUCCAAGGAAGUCUUAUCCCCCUCAAUUAAGUAGAUUAAAAAUAAACGUCUUGGAGAAGAUAAGGUGAUUGAGCUUGUAAGAGAGCCAUGCCUUUUGCACUAAACUACACAGACCUAAUCCCUGUACAUAUAUCUGCCUUCCAUUCCCAAGAUCUCUUGGUAGGGUCUUCCAGAGAUCUUCUAGGAAUGUACUUAAUAACUGGUUCUUCCAUUAUUUUUCUACCAUUGAACUUGAAGAAGAUGUGACUGGGGAAUAAAGGCAAAGCCAAGCAUGAGAAGGUAGAUCUGAAACAGGAAUGUUAGACAUGGAAUACAAGAGGCAGAGCAAGAGUAAGCAAGAUAGAUAAUCCUGUAAUCCUUCACAUGGGAGGAAAGGUUGUAGUAACAACUCCAUUCUAACAAGCACAGAUAGUACACAGGUUGUUUUUCAUUAAACUUGUGAGAGAAAGAGACACAUCUCUAGAUAUAUUAUUGGAGUGGUCAAAA